This 76-nucleotide non-coding RNA is filed under the name Anaerorhabdus furcosa. RNAcentral's name for it is "c-di-GMP-I riboswitch aptamer". It matches the Rfam family "c-di-GMP-I riboswitch aptamer". Rfam says of the family: GEMM was predicted in a large-scale screen for bacterial structured RNA regulatory elements. Genes associated with GEMM are involved in a diverse array of functions, including chemotaxis regulation, signal transduction, secretion and chitin. Lineage: Bacteria; Bacillati; Bacillota; Erysipelotrichia; Erysipelotrichales; Erysipelotrichaceae. The record is from Rfam by way of RNAcentral.
AGAUAUCAUCGGUAAACCUAUCGAAAGGUAGGGGCACAAAGCUAUAGGGCCUGUUAAAUGGUAGCCAGUUGCACAA